Rhipicephalus sanguineus (brown dog tick) is the source of this 250-nucleotide long non-coding RNA. RefSeq lists it as uncharacterized. The record is from RefSeq and is a predicted model, not a curated record. Lineage: Eukaryota; Metazoa; Arthropoda; Arachnida; Ixodida; Ixodidae. The transcript has 2 exons.
UGUAAAAGUGAUAUUCAAGGGGGAUUGUAUACCAUCCCACGUCAAAGUUGGGCAUUUCCGACACCCUGUUCACCCAUUCAUACAAAAGCCACUUCAAUGUCAUCAGUGCUUCAGGCUAGGACACGUCAGAGGCGUGUGCCCCAACUCGCUACUCUGUCCCCGUUGCGCUGAACCUCAUGCAGAAGACACCUGCCGUGCCACUACUCUGAAGUGCGCCAACUGCAGCGGUCCUCAUGCUGCCUCGUCGAAA